AGAGUUUGAUCCUGGCUCAGGACGAACGCUGGCGGCGUGCUUAACACAUGCAAGUCGAACGGAAAGGCCCUUCGGGGUACUCGAGUGGCGAACGGGUGAGUAACACGUGGGUGAUCUGCCCUGCACUUUGGGAUAAGCCUGGGAAACUGGGUCUAAUACCGAAUAUGACCAUGCGCCUCCUGGUGUGUGGUGGAAAGCUUUUGCGGUGUGGGAUGGGCCCGCGGCCUAUCAGCUUGUUGGUGGGGUAAUGGCCUACCAAGGCGACGACGGGUAGCCGGCCUGAGAGGGUGACCGGCCAUACUGGGACUGAGAUACGGCCCAGACUCCUACGGGAGGCAGCAGUGGGGAAUAUUGCACAAUGGGCGCAAGCCUGAUGCAGCGACGCCGCGUGAGGGAUGACGGCCUUCGGGUUGUAAACCUCUUUCAGCACAGACGAAGCGCAAGUGACGGUAUGUGCAGAAGAAGGACCGGCCAACUACGUGCCAGCAGCCGCGGUAAUACGUAGGGUCCGAGCGUUGUCCGGAAUUACUGGGCGUAAAGAGCUCGUAGGUGGUUUGUCGCGUUGUUCGUGAAAACUCACAGCUUAACUGUGGGCGUGCGGGCGAUACGGGCAGACUUGAGUACUGCAGGGGAGACUGGAAUUCCUGGUGUAGCGGUGGAAUGCGCAGAUAUCAGGAGGAACACCGGUGGCGAAGGCGGGUCUCUGGGCAGUAACUGACGCUGAGGAGCGAAAGCGUGGGGAGCGAACAGGAUUAGAUACCCUGGUAGUCC
This 771-nucleotide ribosomal RNA is filed under the name uncultured bacterium. RNAcentral describes it as "bacterial SSU rRNA". It matches the Rfam family "Bacterial small subunit ribosomal RNA", at positions 8 to 796 of the family's 1533-position model. The record is from RNAcentral.